This 74-nucleotide transfer RNA is filed under the name Alteromonadaceae bacterium Bs31. It matches the Rfam family "tRNA". Rfam says of the family: Transfer RNA (tRNA) molecules are approximately 80 nucleotides in length. The record is from Rfam by way of RNAcentral. Lineage: Bacteria; Pseudomonadati; Pseudomonadota; Gammaproteobacteria; Alteromonadales; Alteromonadaceae.
GCGCCCGUAGCUCAGUUGGAUAGAGCAUCCGCCUUCUAAGCGGAGGGUCGCAGGUUCGAAUCCUGCCGGGCGCG